CUGGUUGUCACCACAACACCCGUUCCCCACAACCAGACCACCUCUGCCCCUACUGAAGCUGGUGGUGGAGCAAGUGAAGAUGCUGUGGCUACUACCCCAGCACCUAAUCCACACAACCAGACAACUUCUGCACAAACUGAAGUUACUGAUGAAGCCAGUGAAGAUGCUGUGGACCGCCAAAGUGAUGUGGUUUCCACCACAACACCCAAUCCCCACAACCAGACCACAUCUGCCCCUACUGAAGCUGAUGGAGCAAGUGAAGAUGAUUCAGAUGAUGAUGAUGCUGCAAGUGAAGAUGAUGAUUCUGCAAAUGAAGAUGAUGAUGCUGCAAGUGAAGAUGCUGUGGCUACCACCCCAACACCAAAUCCCCCAACUACAUCUCACCACACUGCAGCUACCGAUGAUGCAAGUGAGGGUGCUGUGGCUGCCUAAACUGGAACUACUGUAUCCCAUACGACUGAAGUCUGAUUCGACUGCUCCUCUGGUCACAAUAACCUGUCUGGACUUUUUGCCUCUACAUGUUGACUGCAAUAAAGGACAGAUUUUGUAUUUUUUUUAAUCAAAUGUUGUCUUGCCUUUUUCAAAUUGAGGCCUUGUCCUGUUUUGGUAGUGGAGAUGACUAUGAAGCCUCUUUUCUAACGUAUUUCCUGUAGUGGUUUUACUAUAUGCUUCAUGCAACAAGGCCUUCAACGACUCUACAAUUUAAAAGCAUCUAGUUGUCUGAAUUUGUAAAAUGGUUGAACUGGUAGUGAUGCACUAUAAUGGUGAACUGCUUGUGGCAUUUCAAUAAUCUCUACUGUACUGUUUGACAUGUACAUCUCAAGUGAAUUUGCGUGGUAAUUGGUAAACUGAUGUCCGUCCCUACUAAGGGAGUACUGGCCUUAGUAGGCUAACGCCCUCAAUGUAACGGCUAUAUAAAUGGCAUACAGUGUAUGUACUUAACUUUUUAACACAGCGCUGAAUAUACCAUUACAUACUUGUGGUAUCUAUUUGUGGAAGCCUACCUUUACUAUAUCACAACUAGUUUGCUCUGCAUUAUAUAUUAGCAAAUCUGCUGUAAGUAAGGAAAAAUGAA
Molecule: long non-coding RNA, 1075 nt
Organism: Clupea harengus (Atlantic herring)
Lineage: Eukaryota; Metazoa; Chordata; Actinopteri; Clupeiformes; Clupeidae
Source: Ensembl